Molecule: long non-coding RNA, 1232 nt
Filed under: Cicer arietinum (chickpea)
Lineage: Eukaryota; Viridiplantae; Streptophyta; Magnoliopsida; Fabales; Fabaceae
Description: long non-coding RNA (CARI_LNC000863)
Source: RNAcentral
CACUCUCCAUAUUUUUGGAUAAGAGAAUACCUCUACACAAUAUGAUAACACGUAGCAUAUCAACAUCCACUCUCCAUUUUCUGAAAGUCCAAAGUAAAAUAGAGACAAGAGAACACCACGGGAAAAUAUUAGUUUCAAUCGGGCCCAUCAAAAGGUAGGGUCUCCAAAUCAAUUGUUUUAUACCUCUUAAAAUAUAAAAUAUUUUACUUCAUAAAAUACUUUAUAUUAUACUAUUUUUAGAAUUAAAGUUAAUAAUUAAGUAUGAUUUUUGUUUUGGCGGCAAAGUAGUUGUUACCAGACAUACGUCAGUGAAUAUUAUUAUCUAAAAAAAUAUGAAAUUGAUUUUAUUAUCAAUUAAAAAAUAAUAUUAAACUUAAUAAAUUAUUUUAAAUUCUCAAAUGUAUAAAAACAUUAAUUUUGAUAACAAAAAUAUAAUCAUUUUAAUAAAAUAUUAUUAUGGCAUUUAAAAAUUUCGAUCCUUGUGGUAAAAAACAAAAAGCUGUGGGUCUAUUGAGUGGAGCCUUUAUUUGGAUUUGGAGAAUAUAUUGAGGAACAGUGUGGGUCUACUCAAAUAAAUACAUAUUUUAAUGAUUGUAUGUUUAUGAAAUGCAUCAUGAUAUAGUAUCAUAUUUUUGGGGAGACAUAAUAGAUGCUCAGGAGCUAAUUAAUGGUUUCCCCACUCACAAAGGUGUGGACAUCCACUCUACUUUUGGCAUGGAUCCCGCUGUGAGAAAAACAUUGAUUCUCAUUCUUUUUCAUACAAGACAAACAUGAAUUUUAAAUUUAUGAAAGAAAAAAAAAUGAGAGAAAAGAAAAAGGCAAAAGAGAAAAGUUUUGAUGUCUGUUUCUUGAGGGUUACCUUUUGUUGUUGAUUUAUAGCUAAGGUUGGGGUUAUUCUUAGUAUCUAUGAAAGAUUUUUUGUCUUUGAUAAGCAAGAUUUACAUGUGAGUAGUGACAAGGGAAGUUCACUUGGAUUAUUGUGGCGACUCAAUCAAGAUAAAACUCCACCACCGUGGAUACACGCAGUUAUACAUUAAAAGCGAUAAUGAAUCUCAUGUUGUUAAGAUAAAACAGAUGUUUUUGGUUUGUUUCACAUAAUAUUAAAGCUCAACCGUGUAUUGUAUUUUAUAUUAGACGGUCCAAAUCAUCCGCACAUAAGUUUGUGGAAUCCAAUUCCAACUUACUCGUCCAUCCACCUCUUCAUACCUCAUGACCUCGUAAAUACAUCAAUC